RNAcentral lists this ribosomal RNA (314 nucleotides) under Bacillus amyloliquefaciens. Its description in RNAcentral is "bacterial SSU rRNA". It matches the Rfam family "Bacterial small subunit ribosomal RNA", at positions 1 to 305 of the family's 1533-position model. RNAcentral also lists the same sequence under 1 other name. Lineage: Bacteria; Bacillati; Bacillota; Bacilli; Caryophanales; Bacillaceae. The record is from RNAcentral.
UUAUCGGAGAGUUUGAUCCUGGCUCAGGACGAACGCUGGCGGCGUGCCUAAUACAUGCAAGUCGAGCGGACAGAUGGGAGCUUGCUCCCUGAUGUUAGCGGCGGACGGGUGAGUAACACGUGGGUAACCUGCCUGUAAGACUGGGAUAACUCCGGGAAACCGGGGCUAAUACCGGAUGGUUGUCUGAACCGCAUGGUUCAGACAUAAAAGGUGGCUUCGGCUACCACUUACAGAUGGACCCGCGGCGCAUUAGCUAGUUGGUGAGGUAACGGCUCACCAAGGCGACGAUGCGUAGCCGACCUGAGAGGGUGAUC